This is a non-coding RNA of Salmo salar (Atlantic salmon), 54 nucleotides long. The record is from Rfam. Lineage: Eukaryota; Metazoa; Chordata; Actinopteri; Salmoniformes; Salmonidae.
AUGACUCAUUACUGUAAAUCUCUCUGGAUAAGAGCGUCUGCUAAAUGACUCAUU